Molecule: ribosomal RNA, 123 nt
Filed under: Methanoregula sp.
Lineage: Archaea; Methanobacteriati; Methanobacteriota; Methanomicrobia; Methanomicrobiales; Methanoregulaceae
Source: RNAcentral
AUUACAGAUAAUACCUUUUCGGGAAACAACAGGUCUCAUUCCGGACCCCGCAGUUAAGCCGGAACACGAAGUAUGGUGUACAGGUGUACGCGAGUCCUAAAGGAACUAUACCAAACUGCUAUC